RNAcentral lists this ribosomal RNA (497 nucleotides) under uncultured bacterium. Its description in RNAcentral is "partial 16S ribosomal RNA". It matches the Rfam family "Bacterial small subunit ribosomal RNA", at positions 28 to 507 of the family's 1533-position model. The record is from RNAcentral.
GAUGAACGCUGGCGGCGUGCCUAAUACAUGCAAGUCGAGCGAACAGACGAGGAGCUUGCUCCUCUGACGUUAGCGGCGGACGGGUGAGUAACACGUGGAUAACCUACCUAUAAGACUGGGAUAACUUCGGGAAACCGGAGCUAAUACCGGAUAAUAUAUUGAACCGCAUGGUUCAAUAGUGAAAGACGGUUUUGCUGUCACUUAUAGAUGGAUCCGCGCCGCAUUAGCUAGUUGGUAAGGUAACGGCUUACCAAGGCAACGAUGCGUAGCCGACCGGAGAGGGUGAUCGGCCACACGGGAACUGAGACACGGACCAUACUCCUACGGGAGGCAGCAGUAGGGAAUCUUCCGCAAUGGGCGAAAGCCUGACGGAGCAACGCCGCGUGAGUGAUGAAGGUCUUCGGAUCGUAAAACUCUGUUAUUAGGUAAGAACAAAUGUGUAAGUAACUAUGCACGUCUUGACGGUACCUAAUCAGAAAGCCACGGCUAACUACGUG